UUAUAAGCGAAUGGCGGAUGCCUUGGGAUAUUGAUGCGAUGAAGGACGUGGCGUGCCUGCGAUAAGCAUCGGGGAGGUGGCUAGCAACCUUUGAUCCGGUGAUUUCCGAAUGAGGAAACUCAAUAUGAUUAAUCUCAUAUUAUCUGUCCAGCUUUUUGUACUUUAAAAAUUUAAAGUUUAAAAAGUUGGACAGAAGCGUACCCGGCGAAGUGAAACAUCUCAGUAGCCGGAGGAAAAGAGAACAAAGUUAUCCCCUUAGUAGUGGCGAGCGAACAGGGGGAAGCCUAAACAGAAUCUUUAGAUUCUGGGUUGUAAGGUUGUAGCGUCAGGAGCACUACCUUUUGCUUCGCAAAAGGAAUUAAAAAUUUAAAAUUUUAAAUUUAAAAUUUUUCGCGCGGAGCGCGAGGUAAUGCUUGCUGAGAGAGAAUACAAAAUAAUAGUGUUAAAAGAAGCACCCUGGAAAGGGGCGCCAUAGAGGGUAAUAGCCCCGUAUUCUAAAAUACUUAUUAUGCUCUUUGCUAUGAUUCUUGAGUACUGUCGGGAAUGAUAACCUGGCAGGAAGCAGGCCGAACUAUCGGCCAAGGCUAAAUAAUCAAUAUCACCGAUAGUGAACCAGUACCGUGAGGGAAAGGUGAAAAGUAGGGGGGUGACCCCGGUGAAAUAGUACCUGAAACCAUUUGCUUACAAAGAGUCGGAGCCCCGCCUUUGGCGGGGUGACGGCGUGCUUUUUGCAGAACGAGCCAACGAGUCUGGAUAUAUAAUUGUCUAAGCCCUUUUGGGGCGGAGGCAUAGCGAAAGCGAGUGUUAAAAGCGCGAAUUAUAAUUGUAUAUUCAGGACCCGAAGCGUGACGAGCUUGCCAUGAGCAGGAUGAAUCCCGCCGAAAGGCGGGAGGAGGUCCGAACUAGUGAGGCGUGCAAUCCUCUUGGAUGAUUUGUGGCAAGGAGUGAAAAGCUAAUCGAGUUACGUAAUAGCUGGUUCUUCCCGAAACAGCUUUAGGGCUGGCGUCUAUUAACAGCACACGGGGGUAGAGCACUGAAUAGAAUUCCUUGGAGUUUCUCCAGGUUCUCUAAUCAAACUCCGAAUACCGUGUGUUUUGGAUAGGCAGUUAGACUGCGGGGGCUAAGCUCCGUGGUCAAAAAGGAAACAGCCUAGAUCAUCGUCUAAGGUCCCUAAAUUAGACUAAGUGUUUUUAAGGAAGUAUUUUGCCCUAGACAGGCAGGAAGUUAGCUUAGAGGUAGCUAUCUUUUAAAGAGUGUGUAACAACUCACUGCCCAAAGUCUUUCCUUUGGAAAGGCAGGGGCGAGAUGCGCCAAAGAUUAUCGGGACUAAAGUCUAAUACCGAAGACAUGGAUUACUGCUCCUCACUUUUGUUCGGAGCUCAUCAACGAAUAACGAAUCAAUACGAAUGUACGAAUUAGUAAAUUCGUAACAAAUUCGUAAUUCGAUGAUGAAGCGACGAGCAGUAGCGAGGAGCGGUAGUGGUAGGGAAGCAUUCUGAGGGCACUGAAGCCGAAGUGUAAACGACGGUGGAGCGCUCAGAAGAGAGAAUGUUGGCCUGAGUAACCGCAUUGCAGGUGAAAGCCCUGCACACCGAAAGUCCAAGGUUUCCUUGGCAAUGGUAUUCAACCAAGGGUUAGGCGGUCCUAAGGCAAACCCGAAAGGGGCAGCUGAUGGACAGUCGGUUAAUAUUCCGACCCUCGGAUACAUUUUGAUAGAAAGACGCAUUACAGUAGUUUCAGCGGAUUAUUGGAUUUCACGCUCUUGCACUAAGGUAAAUCAAGGUGCGAGAAAAGCCCCGCCUUUGGCGGGACAAUUGAGAUGAGCGCGAUGCCCAGAAAAAAGCUAUCAAGCUAAUUGUAUUCGAACCGUACCGCAAACCGACACAGGUGGACAAGCGUAAGUAUGCUAAGGUGAACGGGUGAAACCUCGUUAAGGAACUCGGCAAACAAGUGGCCGUAAGUUCGCAAUAUGGCCUUCCCUCCACCGCAAGGUGGUCGGGAUGCAACAAACGUACUUCAAGCGACUGUUUAUCAAAAACACAGCUCCCUGCUAACUCGUAAGAGGAUGUAUAGGGGGUGAGGCCUGACCAGUGUUGGAAUGUUAAGUUUGGGGGUCUGAGCCGUAAGGUUCAGGCUCACUGAAUGAAGCACCAAUGAACGUCGGCGAUAACUAUAAGAUGACGAUUGUAGUUAUAAAACUUCGCUAUAUGCUGGAAACUCUGUAGUAUCUGAUGCUACUAUGUUAUAAUAUAUUAAAGGUGUAUUUACCCCUUUGAUAUUAUGCAAAGUAAAAAAGCAUUCAGUGCAGACAAUCAGCAGGAAAGAAUAGAAAUAUGUGGAUGGAUUACUGGGUUUGUAGAUGGAGAAGGGUCUUUUCUUGUAAAUAUAUUUCAAUCUCCAAGAGCAAAAAAUAAAUGGCAAGUUUUUCCUGAAUUUAAUGUUUCACAAUCAUUAAAAGGAAAAGAUUUGCUUCAUAAAUUAGAAAAAUUUUUUGCUUGCGGACAUAUAUACGCGCACAACGCGAGAAAUAUAAAACAAGGAAAAUGGGACCCUCUCUAUAAAUAUUGCGUCAGAAAUAGAAGCGAAUUGCAAGAAAAAAUUAUUCCUUUUUUCAAAAAUUAUAAAUGUUUUGGCAAAGCCAAAAUAAAUGAUUUUGAAAGAUUUGUUAAAGUUAUUGAAAUGAUGGAUAAGGGAGAACACUUAACAAAAAAGGGAAUGAUAAAAAUUGCAAGAAUCGCAGAAAAAAUGACGCAUCGCAAACCAUUUGAAGAAUCCUCAAUAUACAAAUUUCUAUUAUCCUCAGAGACUAUACGCGAAGCCCGUCAAAAUUAAUUUUUUGAAACGGGAUGAUAUAGUCCGCUCUUUAUGGCGACAUAAAGGCUGUCCCGAGAUUUACCUCUCGAAGGACUAAUAAAAAGAGAGAAAUCGUCCAAAGGUAACAAACGCAAUUGCUUUUGUAAAACUUGGCUAUAUGCUGGAAACUCCGUUGUAUCCGACAUUACCCCGAUUGUAUCGUGGGUGAAAAUAUGUUCGGUGCGGACAAUCAGCAGGGAAGAAUAAAGGAGAAAGCCAUGAAAAAAAGAGAAGUAAGUGAAAGAGUGUAUCAAUUAACGUAUGAGGAACGAUAUAUUGAUUGUAGCGGUGGU
Molecule: ribosomal RNA, 3146 nt
Filed under: Candidatus Staskawiczbacteria bacterium RIFOXYA1_FULL_37_15
Lineage: Bacteria; Candidatus Staskawicziibacteriota
Also listed under: 6 other names
Description: bacterial LSU rRNA
Rfam family: Bacterial large subunit ribosomal RNA (bases 5-2250)
Source: RNAcentral